UUGAUUUAGGAAAGGGAAGUCGUAACAAGGUUUCCGUAGGUGAACCUGCGGAAGGAUCAUUGUCGCAUCGCAUCUCUCUCUCGACGCACCCGCGAACGGUUGACCCCGACCCUUUUAUUAAACUCGCCGGCGGGGCGGAGGCGGGGGGCGGACGAACGGUCCCUCGGCUCUCGGUUAUGUACGGCUCGGCUCGGCUUGCGUCCGUCCGACCGUCCGUCCGCCGCGCCUCCUCCGCCCCUCCGCACGCCCUCCUCCCCACGCGUCGUCCUCGUCGGCGGCCGCGGGGCGGCGGGACGACGAACCUCCCGGCGCGGCCUGCGCCAAGGAUCACGUACUGGGGCCGCCCGCGCGCGGGCCUCGCUCUGAGCGGGGAGGUGCGCGGCGUCGGUCGCCACGAACGAGUCUCCGAACGACUCCCGGCAACGGAUAUCUCGGCUCUCGCAUCGAUGAAGAACGUAGCGAAAUGCGAUACGUGGUGUGAAUUGCAGAAUCCCGCGAACCAUCGAAUCUUUGAACGCAAGUUGCGCCCGAGGCCGCCGGGCCGAGGGCACGCCUGCCUGGGCGUCACGCCCCGCGUCGCUCCCCGCCCCCCUCGCCUGCGGUGCCGGCACGCACCGCGCGGCGACCGAGGACGGGGACGCGGAGAUUGGCCUGCCGUGCUCCGGUGCGGCGGGCUGAAGACCUCGGCCCUCCCGCGGGGGCGAGCACGGCGACCGGUGGACGGAUUCGGCGCCGCGGGCACUGCGGACAGUACGCACUCGUCCUCGUGUGCCCGUCGCCGCCGGACGGAACGGAACGGAACGGAGCGCCGCUUAGUCGCCGCGAGGGGGAAGGAAAGGAACGGACGAGGAGAGCCGGCGAGCGAAGGAACCCACUCCCGAGCAGAUGCGGGCCGUCGCUCGGAUUGCGACCCCACGUCAGGCGGGGCCGCCCCCCGAGUUUAGUUUUAUCAUUUCGCGGAGGAAAGGAA
RNAcentral lists this ribosomal RNA (970 nucleotides) under Homalomena sp. Nakamoto Ar4054. RNAcentral's name for it is "eukaryotic LSU rRNA". The stretch from base 412 to 567 matches the Rfam family "5.8S ribosomal RNA". The record is from RNAcentral. Lineage: Eukaryota; Viridiplantae; Streptophyta; Magnoliopsida; Alismatales; Araceae.